RNAcentral lists this transfer RNA (76 nucleotides) under Lissemys scutata (Burmese flap-shelled turtle). Its description in RNAcentral is "tRNA-Leu". It matches the Rfam family "tRNA". Rfam says of the family: Transfer RNA (tRNA) molecules are approximately 80 nucleotides in length. Lineage: Eukaryota; Metazoa; Chordata; Testudines; Trionychidae. The record is from RNAcentral.
AUUGGGGUGGCAGAGCCAGGAAAAUUUGCAAAAGGCCUAAACCCUUUAACCAGGGGUUCAACUCCCCUCCCCAAUU